GGGGUUGUGGGAGUUCUCUUGAUCGGUCUGCCGGCCGGUCGGUGAGUCAGAAACCGUUGAUGUAGGCGAAGGACAUGCGAAAGGUCCGGCGUAGAGGGUAAGACCCCCGUAGCUGAAACAUUGACGGCUCGCUUGAGAAUCACCCAAGUAGCACGGGGCCCGUGAAAUCCCGUGUGAAUCUGGCGGGACCACCCGCUAAGCCUAAAUAUUCCCUGGUGACCGAUAGCGGAUAGUACCGUGAGGGAAUGGUGAAAAGUACCGCGGGAGCGGAGUGAAAUAGUACCUGAAACCGUGUGCCUACAAGCCGUGGGAGCGUCGC
This 319-nucleotide ribosomal RNA is filed under the name Streptomyces griseoflavus. RNAcentral's name for it is "bacterial LSU rRNA". It matches the Rfam family "Bacterial large subunit ribosomal RNA", at positions 294 to 585 of the family's 2925-position model. The record is from RNAcentral. Lineage: Bacteria; Bacillati; Actinomycetota; Actinomycetes; Kitasatosporales; Streptomycetaceae.